Molecule: long non-coding RNA, 3736 nt
Filed under: Daucus carota (carrot)
Lineage: Eukaryota; Viridiplantae; Streptophyta; Magnoliopsida; Apiales; Apiaceae
Description: long non-coding RNA (DCAR_LNC002754)
Source: RNAcentral
AGAACUUCAAUAGGCAGUGUUUUUGUGUGAUGGAUCAGCACAUAACAUGUAGCUUGCCUACUCAUCAUUUUACAUUGAUUCUCCAACUCUUUUUUUAUCUUACAACACAGUUAAUACUGAAUAAGGAUAAAUAAUCCCACAAGUCUAUAACUCCAACUACUAAGCUUAACAAAUAGGUCUCAUUCACUAUAUGUAAUUGACAGGCCUAGUGGAAUGUAAUAGUUGAGUCCAAUGGUACCCUUUUGAUAAUAUAUCUGAAUUUUGAUGUCGUUGUUAAAACGCAUGGUAUUGGUCAGAGCUAACUCAGUAGACAUCGUUACAUUGUGUUGGUUUUUUUCGGAGGGGGAGGGGUUGACCAGCAGAAUUAGCAGUAUAUCCCACAUCAUCAGAAGCAUAUACUAGAAACAUAUACAGACCCUGCAAGAAUGAUUCGAACAUCAAAAGAGUAAUAAAUAAUCUAUCAUUUGAAAUCCUACAUAUGUUCAAAGCACUUCAUGAUGAUUCAUAGGCAUAAGUAGAAAAUAAGAACGAGUAUACAAAUACAUGUUAGCAAAUAACUCACCAGCAACAGUUGCAGCUGCCCUUUCCAUCUUCUUAGCAUUAGCAACUUGAGCCAUAAGUUUCGAAAUUUCCCGUUCGAUAGAACGUAUGUUCUCCUCCAAAAUCUGAGUCAUCUCAUCGUUGACAGCAUGCAUAACUUGUUUACAUAUUCAAGGGCAGCCUUGUUCAAUUUAUGAAUAUAUAUAUACACCUUGUACAAAUCUACAAACUACUAAUUUAUAGAUAUAACCAAUGACAUAGUAUAACUAAUUCAAAGCUGAAAAUACACCUAAAAAACAUGUAUUUAAAAACAUAUUUAAAUAUGCUAGAAUUGUUGUUUAAAAACAUACUCCCUCCGUCCAUUUUUAUUUGUCCAUUUUGGAAAAAAACACACAUACCAAAGAAUAAUUGAUUGUAUAAACUUUUUCAUUAAAUACCUCUAAUUAAUAUCUUGAAAAUGGUGGAAUACCUCUACUUUAUGUCUUGAAAACAUGAAUUCAACCAAGUUUUAAAUAAGCCAAGCCUUGAAAAUUGAAAUUAUGGAGAUAUAUUUGAAAAAUUAUCAUUAAAUUAGUUUUGAAACUAUAAAUGGACAGAUAAAUAGGGACAAAUUUUUACUUCCAAAGUGGACAGAUAAAUAGGGACGGAGGGAGUAUUUAAGUAGGCUAGAAGCUCUACUUUUCAAGCAUCUUCACUGAGAAUUGUUGUUUAUCAUGUGCAGGUUUAACAUAUUUUUUGUUAUUAGGAAGUUUUUAUCUAAAUUAUCCUAAAACUAUACGGAUAUAAGUAUGACCUUUAGGUUAAAAAUGUUAGGCAUUGUACUAGUGGUGUGCAGGCACAUGAGGUCCAUAACAAUAACAAUGUAGAGAAAUUCAAGAUAGAAUGCAUGUUAGGAAUCACAAACCUAUGCAUUUAAAUAACACGAGACAAUGAUAGUAUCUAGCUUCAAGAUUUUUACAGUAUUCAUACAUAAUAUUUUGCUCUUUCUUCACCAACCUAAGCUCCCUAACCCCAUAUAUGUAAGCAAGAAACACAAAAACAUAUAAUCAAACAUAUCAAAAAGUUAUUUAUUUAUUUUUUUGAUUUUUAAGGUUUGUACGCAACAACGUGUAUAAGUGAUUUUUUUUUAAAAGCAUAAACAUAUCAACCCUCAACAUAAAUUCAAUAUCAAUUAACAUGGAAUAAUUUUUCUAUGAAAGUAAAAUAAUAUUACCUUAAGAUAUUUGUCAAUGUCACACACUUAUGGGCAUAUGAAUCUCAGUCUUUUUUGGAGCAUUUUCUCCAUUAUUUUCUUGAAGUAUUUCAUUAAUAGAUGUUAGAGAUGAUGAAUAUGAAAGAAUGUGGUAGGUGAGUUAUGCUAAAACAAAUCUAUCAAACUAAUUUAAAGAUAUUAGAGAUAUAUGAUGUGGGGAUUUCGCAUAGAGAAUUCAAUGUGUUGGACAAUAAAAUUUUAAGCUUAUUUUUUGAGAAAUAUUACCAUGAUUUUAGUUUUUAUCUAGAGAAAGACAAUAUGUAGAGUCAAGAUUUUACCACCAGUAAAUUAUUUAUUUUCUCGUUUUCUUUUCUUUUCAAAUCCUUCUCUAGCUACCCUCCUACUUGUUGGCCACCUACCCUAGCAAACACACACAAAAUAAAAAGAUAAUGGGAGCUAGUUACUAUUGAAGACAAAAAUUAGUAUUUGUCCACAAAAACCUCAAUCAAUCAAUAGGCUGGUAUCAGAUAACUUUGUUAAUAGAAAUUAAGUUAUAAGUUAGUUGAGGUAAAGAAAAAUUAAUAUCUACUAUAACCGAGUUAUUUAAAUAAUUAAGUAUCCAUUCAACAAGGUCUAUGAAAUUAAACUUAUUACUACAAAGCUAAUAAUUUUUAUCUUAAAACCAGAGACUCGUGCUCUUCCUAAAACUUUUACCCUAAAGUGGGGUAGGUUUUUUACCUUAAAAAAAGAGCAAUUACAAAAACAAACAAAAAAUUAUACUUGCAAACUAAAAUUACACACAAAAAUUAUAUUUUACAAAAAGAGUGUGGAUAUGAGUGUAAGAACCAGUCAAAUCAGGUCAGCAGCUAUAUUAAUAUAUAGGUAGCAGGUGAUCUUAAGUUUCAUUUUGGAAUUAGAAGAUUUUAGAAUCUAAUUUUAUAGAACAAAGAUGAAUAAGACUAACUAAUAUUUAUAAAAAUAAGACUACACAUUGUUUCAUAUAGUUCUAGGGAUGUGUUCACUAAUAUCCACCUAAUUUUUCUUUGAUUGAAUCAACCUCCAUUUGAUGCACAAACAACAACCCGAUGUCAAAAAUAAAAAAUAAUGUCUCCAAAUUAUCAAUUCAAUACUCAUUAUAUAAUAAAUUAUAACAAACAUUCAAAAAAAAAAACUAUAUAUUGAAUGGUUUUCAAACACAAAAUGGAUCUUAAGAAUUAUAUUACGAUUACAUUUUUUGCCAACAUAAAAACAUAAAUAUACAAAAACUGUAAUAUAAACCUUGUUAAAAAGUUAAUUGAAAAGUGAAAUCAAUAUAAUAAAUCCUUAGCAUAAUGAUAACACUAAAUCUGGGCCACCUAAGACAAAAAAAAAUGACUAAAGCAAAAAAACUUCAAUAACAAAUUCUAUAGAGAGGUAUAUAAAAUUCUAUAGAGAGGUAUAUAGUAGAAAUUACCUUCGAUCCUGCUAUUCUUUAUCACUCUCCUGUGACCGUAAAUAAUAGGUGCACCGCAACCUCUGAUAAAAGGUAGUGUAUAACCUCUGAUAAAAGCCAUAUGUAUAACCCUACUGGACAUCUAUUUAUAGUGAUUAUGUACAUGUGGGAUAAUUAUUUAAGGCCCAGUGCAAGAAAAAUGUUGGGCCUUUUAAGAUAUUAAUAGUUUAGAUUUUAUUAUAAUUUCAAAUUUCUAUGGAGUACAAAAAAUAUUGAAGUAUUGGUGUACAAGAUUCAUACAAUAUAAUCAAUCCAAAAUCUUCAUUUUUUGUGUUCUACAAUAUUUGUAAACAUCCGACAACCUGCAGAUUAUGUUCUACAACAUAAACAUUGUAAUCAAAAGAUAGAACAAUUACUUUUAUAAAUUGUUAGGACAUUAUGUUCUGCAAUAUAACUUAUAAGCAUAACACCAAUCUUAAUACUUGUUAAAGUUGAAAUAUAUUAAUGAUUAAUUAAUAAUUAUGUUUAAUACUACUUAUAAAUUAUAAAUUAUAUACAAAUUUGGAUAAUCA